GCCUCUGUAGCUCAGUUGGUUAGAGCGCUGCACCGGAAUUGCAGGGCAGCAGCUUCGAUUCCCGCCAGAGAGCC
This 74-nucleotide transfer RNA is filed under the name Paramuricea clavata. Its description in RNAcentral is "tRNA-Ser". It matches the Rfam family "tRNA". Rfam says of the family: Transfer RNA (tRNA) molecules are approximately 80 nucleotides in length. Lineage: Eukaryota; Metazoa; Cnidaria; Anthozoa; Malacalcyonacea; Plexauridae. The record is from RNAcentral.